Molecule: ribosomal RNA, 429 nt
Filed under: uncultured bacterium
Lineage: Bacteria
Description: bacterial SSU rRNA
Rfam family: Bacterial small subunit ribosomal RNA
Source: RNAcentral
CUAAGAAUAUUCCACAAUGGACGAAAGUCUGAUGGAGCGACGCCGCGUGGAUGAUGAAGGCCGAAAGGUUGUAAAAUCCUUUUAAACUGGAAGAAUAAUCAUGGUAGGGAAUGACCGUGAGGUGACCGUACAGUUUGAAUAAGCAACGGCUAAUUACGUGCCAGCAGCCGCGGUAACACGUAAGUUGCGAGCGUUGUUCGGAAUUAUUGGGCGUAAAGGGCAUGUAGGCGGUUUUGAAAGCUUGAUGUGAAAUCCCACAGCUUAACUGUGGAACUGCAUUGAGAACUACAAGACUAGAGUUACUGAAGGGAAACUAGAAUUCCAAGUGUAGGGGUGAAAUCUGUAGAUAUUUGGAAGAAUACCAAUGGCGAAGGCAAGUUUCUGGCAGAUAACUGACGCUGAGGUGCGAAGGUGCGGGGAGCAAACAGG